UGGCUCAGGACGAACGCUGGCGGCGUGCCUAAUACAUGCAAGUCGAACGGUCUUUCUAUGGAAGCUUGCUUCCACUGAGAAGAUAGUGGCGAACGGGUGAGUAACACGUGGGUAACCUGCCCAUAAGAGGGGGGAUAACAUCCGGAAACGGGUGCUAAUACCGCAUAGUUUUCUUGAUCGCAUGAUCGGGAAAGGAAAGACGGCCUUUGUGCUGUCGCUUAUGGAUGGACCCGCGGCGUAUUAGUUAGUUGGUGAGGUAACGGCUCACCAAGACGAUGAUACGUAGCCGACCUGAGAGGGUGAUCGGCCACAUUGGGACUGAGACACGGCCCAAACUCCUACGGGAGGCAGCAGUAGGGAAUCUUCCGCAAUGGACGAAAGUCUGACGGAGCAACGCCGCGUGAGUGAAGAAAGGUUUUCGGAUCGUAAAACUCUGUUGUCAGAGAAGAACAAGUUGGAGAGUAACUGCUCCAGCCUUGACGGUAUCUGACCAGAAAGCCACGGCUAACUACGUGCCAGCAGCGGC
This 526-nucleotide ribosomal RNA is filed under the name uncultured bacterium. Its description in RNAcentral is "bacterial SSU rRNA". It matches the Rfam family "Bacterial small subunit ribosomal RNA", at positions 20 to 518 of the family's 1533-position model. The record is from RNAcentral.